This 465-nucleotide ribosomal RNA is filed under the name Vreelandella stevensii. RNAcentral's name for it is "partial 16S ribosomal RNA". It matches the Rfam family "Bacterial small subunit ribosomal RNA", at positions 338 to 795 of the family's 1533-position model. The record is from RNAcentral. Lineage: Bacteria; Pseudomonadati; Pseudomonadota; Gammaproteobacteria; Oceanospirillales; Halomonadaceae.
CCUACGGGUGGCAGCAGUGGGGAAUAUUGGACAAUGGGGGCAACCCUGAUCCAGCCAUGCCGCGUGUGUGAAGAAGGCCCUCGGGUUGUAAAGCACUUUCAGUGAGGAAGAACGCCUGGUGGUUAAUACCCAUCAGGAAAGACAUCACUCACAGAAGAAGCACCGGCUAACUCCGUGCCAGCAGCCGCGGUAAUACGGAGGGUGCGAGCGUUAAUCGGAAUUACUGGGCGUAAAGCGCGCGUAGGUGGCUGGAUAAGCCGGUUGUGAAAGCCCCGGGCUCAACCUGGGAACGGCAUCCGGAACUGUCAAGCUAGAGUGCAGGAGAGGAAGGUAGAAUUCCCGGUGUAGCGGUGAAAUGCGUAGAGAUCGGGAGGAAUACCAGUGGCGAAGGCGGCCUUCUGGACUGACACUGACACUGAGGUGCGAAAGCGUGGGUAGCAAACAGGAUUAGAUACCCGGGUAGUC